CUUCAAUAGUCGUACAAAAGAGAUGUGUUGCUCCUCCUCCUGCCAUCCCCGCCGGUUUACCGCUUCCUCAUACUUUUAAUACACUUAAAUAACUGUGGUAACUGAGGAUUGCUAUGUCUGGCUGUGUCUACUGCAACAUUGAUCAACACGGCAACCUUGACCAGUCUGAGGGGUGGAGACUACACUAGUAAAUGGUCUGAUUCAUAACAUUUAGUAUUAUAUGGAGAUGCAGCAGUUGGAGACGUCGUUGAGGUGGGCAGGGCCCACUUGUAAGGUUGAAGAUAUUCUCCGUGGGCAGCUGCUGUGUGAAGUCAAGUCCAUGUUGUGGGCAGCUGCUGUGUGGUGAAGUCCAUGUUGUGGGCAGCUGCUGUGUGGUGAAGUCCAUGUUGUGGGCAGCUGCUGUGUGGUGAAGUCCAUGUUGUGGGCAGCUGCUGUGUGGUGAAGUCCAUGUUGUGGGCAGCUGCUGUGUGGUGAAGUCCAUGUUGUGGGCAGCUGCUGUGUGGUGAAGUCCAUGUUGUGGGCAGCUGCUGUGUGGUGAAGUCCAUGUUGUGGGCAGCUGCAAGUCUUCAGAGA
Cherax quadricarinatus is the source of this 573-nucleotide non-coding RNA. The record is from RefSeq and is a predicted model, not a curated record. Lineage: Eukaryota; Metazoa; Arthropoda; Malacostraca; Decapoda; Parastacidae.